UCCACAAAAAAGCUUUGAAAACAAAUUACAUUAAGGUCUCAGGAUACAAGAUUAAUAUACAAAAACCAAGUGUAUUUUUAUAUAUUAGCAAUGAAUAACUGGAAGCUGAAAUUCACAGUAUCAAAAUAUAUGAAAUAGGAGUAAAUCUGACCACAUCCCUUCAAAAAACUGGAAAGAUUUGUACACAAAACUACAAAAUAUUGUUGAGAAAAAUUAAAGAAAAACUAAAUAAAUUGAGAAAUAUAACAUAGUCAUGGUUUGGAAAAUUCAAUUUUAUUAAGAAGUCAAUUCUUCCCCUGAAAUUAUCUGCAGACUCAAAACAAUCCCGACAGAAAUUCCAGCCAGCUUUUUUGUAGAAUGUGACAAGUUGAUUCUAAAACAGAAAUGCAAAGGACCUAGGACUGGUAAUUGUUGAAGGUAGGUGAUAAAUACAUCACUUGGUAUUUCAUUACAUUUUUCUCUCUACUUUGUAAAUGUUUGAAAUUUUCCAUAGUGAAAAUGUUUGAAUAAAAACUGAGAUUUUCCAGGAACACAUAUAAAUACAAAAUAUCCUUCCUUUAAAUUUUUCAUUACAUUACAAAAAUGGUUUCCUCUUUCACACUACCUUAAGUCUAACUCCCUGGCUUGGUUUCCCAGGCCCUAUAACCAGUCCUCUCUGCUUCCUGUUCCUCUAUGACAGGGGUCAACAAACCACAAUCCAGGGCUAAAUCUGACCCAUCACUUGUUUUUUUUCGGCCCAAAAACUAAGAAUGUUUUGAACUUUUAAAUGGUUGGGGAAAAAAAAUCAAAAGACUAUUUUGGGCUGGACACUGGCUCAUGCCUGCAAUCCCAACACUUUCAGUGGCCGAAGAGGGUGGAUAGCUUGAGCCUGGGAAGUCAGGGCUGCAAUAAGCUAUGAUCAGGCUGCUGCCCUCCAGCCUGAGCAACAGAGUGACACUGUCUCAAAAAAAAAGAAAGAAAAAAAGAAAAUGUUAUUGAAACAUAGUCACAUUCAUUCACAUCUGUAGUGGCUGUGGUUACUUUUGCACUACAAUGAUGGAGUUGAUUAGAUGCAACAGAGACCUUAAGGUCUUCAAUGACUAAAACAUUUACUGUCUGGCCCUUUACAGACAGUCUGUCAAUCCCUAAUUUAUUAUAUGCCUUCUUCUCCCUCAGCUAACUAAUUGCCUCACCCCAGGAAUGUUCAUUACUACCUCUUCUUUGUUCAAGCCCCAGCUACUCCUCAAAACCCAAAAUUCCCUUCUUCCCCUUUCCCAAAUCCUAACCAUAUCAGCAGUUUGUGUGGAAGUAGGUAAGCAAAACACCAUUCGUUAUUGUGUAAAGCAAGGCAUUGGAGAUGCGGUCCCUACAUGUACAAGGGGAGGCUGAUUACCCCCCGAUUCAUUUCCAAUUUCUCAAAGCAGGUUGGCAGGCUAGCACCUAGGAAGGAGAGAGCGAGCAGAUGAUGCAGACAGAGCACUGAGAAACUCCUCAGUAACUCAUGAGAGUUCAUGUGUCAGGCCCCUUGUCUGCUAUGUCAUCCUUUAGACAUCAAUUCAAGACAGCAAAAUUCAAAAAAGAAAUGAGGAAGAAAAAGGUGAUGAGGGGCAGAAGGAAAAGAGAAGAGAACUUGUCACUUCACAAUGUAGAGACAGUCACAAACUGUGGUGAAUGAAAAACUAUUCCAUUCACCUGGGCAUGGUGGCUCACACCUGUAAUCCCAGCACUUUGGGAGGCUGAGGCAGGGAGAUAACUUGAGGUCAGAAGUUCAAGACCAG
This 1757-nucleotide long non-coding RNA is filed under the name Homo sapiens (human). RNAcentral describes it as "HSALNT0275851". The record is from RNAcentral. Lineage: Eukaryota; Metazoa; Chordata; Mammalia; Primates; Hominidae.